AUUUGCUUCCAUUCUUUAAAAAAGCCCCUUUUCUUUCUUCAGGUUGAGCUGUUUCCAGCCAGGCAAAGAAGCAAAUUUCUCUCUUGUGAUGCCAAAUACAGCAACAAAGUCUUCAUCAGAGAGAUGGUGGCAUAUAUGGUGACUUGCCUUGAAAUCAGGAUGACCUGCUUCUGACAUUUUGACCAGUGACCCUAGAAAAAUCACUGAACCUCUUGGUAUCUCAGAUGGUGCUUACCUGGUCCCAGGUAUCCAGGAGCAUGACAUCACUUGGGUUCAGAUCAUCCUGUGUGAAAUCUGUGAUCUCAGUAACAAUGAAACGACCAGUCUUAUUGGAACACUCAAAGAGACGGGGUUGGACAUCAAGGAUUUCCUGCUGGAGUCUGCAAGGAUCCCCUGGGGAAGAUGUCUCUUUACUCAUUUUCCAUCCUUUCCUUGAGUUCCUUUGACUUCGCUGUUGGGAAGGGGAAAAGAGAAAGAAUGCCAUACUGUUUUACCUUUCCAUACCAGAGGUAGUGCUCAUUU
Molecule: long non-coding RNA, 522 nt
Organism: Dromiciops gliroides (monito del monte)
Lineage: Eukaryota; Metazoa; Chordata; Mammalia; Microbiotheria; Microbiotheriidae
Exons: 4
Source: RefSeq, a predicted model, not a curated record